This 76-nucleotide transfer RNA is filed under the name Acidimicrobiia bacterium. RNAcentral describes it as "tRNA-Thr". It matches the Rfam family "tRNA". Rfam says of the family: Transfer RNA (tRNA) molecules are approximately 80 nucleotides in length. Lineage: Bacteria; Bacillati; Actinomycetota; Acidimicrobiia. The record is from RNAcentral.
GCCCGAAUAGCUCAGUCGGUAGAGCGUCGCAUUCGUAAUGCGCAGGUCGCGAGUUCGAUUCUCGCUUCGGGCUCCA